Long non-coding RNA from Syzygium oleosum, 227 nucleotides. RefSeq lists it as uncharacterized. The transcript has 2 exons. NCBI's taxonomy places the organism in Eukaryota, Viridiplantae, Streptophyta, Magnoliopsida, Myrtales, Myrtaceae. The record is from RefSeq and is a predicted model, not a curated record.
GAGGUGGAGGCGGUGGCGUGGCUCGUUGGACUAGAGAGCAGAGCUAGUCGUUAAGAGGGGGGGGGUUGGGCGUGGGGUUGCAGAGGAGAUGGAGAGCAGAGCGCGUGAGGGAGAGGGGAGAGAGAGACAAUUGUCUGACAGGUGGGCCCGCUACGGACACGUGUCGAUUACUGUAUGGAUUAUUAUAAAUCCUACGUGGUAUAUUAAAUGCACCUAAUAUUUUCUCG